Molecule: small RNA, 584 nt
Filed under: Oryza sativa Japonica Group (Japanese rice)
Lineage: Eukaryota; Viridiplantae; Streptophyta; Magnoliopsida; Poales; Poaceae
Description: sRNA Os01g0777900
Source: RNAcentral
ACUCUCACCCAGUAUAGUUCUCCAUUGAGCAAACUACCAAAGGGUACUCAUCUGAAACAGAAUCCAGUGAUCGACCAGCAUGGAUGAUCGUAGGUACGGCUACUCGUAUCCACCACCCCAAGGGUACUACAAUGGGCCGCCGGUGAUGGCGCCGCCGCAGUACGCGGCUCCGCCGCCGAGGCGGCCGGAGCCGAGCUUCCUCGAAGGAUGCCUUGCUGCUCUCUGCUGCUGCUGCCUCAUCGACGAGUGCUGCUGCGACCCAUCGGUCAUAUUUGUGACCUAAUUACGGUCACAGUGGCGUCUCGACUGGUUGACGAGGACGAACAGUCUGAGUUGAGAUAUACACUGUACACGUGCUUGCCUUUUGUUAAAUGUUGAUAAUUGUAUCGGUCUAUAGCUAGAUUACAGUACAAGUCCUCCGUUAAGUUCAGGUUCUUCAAGUAUCAGAUGCAUGCGUGAUCCACCUGCAGUGGAAAUAUUUAUAUUGCAUGCACUGGUUGCUCGAUUAACCAAAGGACGUAUACGUUUCUAUGUGUAUGUCUGCAUGAUCGACUAUAAAGAAUAAACGAAGGUAAAGUGAAGUU